Molecule: ribosomal RNA, 253 nt
Filed under: uncultured bacterium
Lineage: Bacteria
Description: partial 16S ribosomal RNA
Rfam family: Bacterial small subunit ribosomal RNA
Source: RNAcentral
UACGUAGGUGGCAAGCGUUGUCCGGAUUUACUGGGCGUAAAGAGCGCGCAGGCGGUCGAUCAAGUCGCGUGUGAAAGCCCCCGGCUCAACUGGGAGGGGUCAUUCGAUACUGGCGGGCUCGAGGCCGGUAGGGGGAAGUGGAAUUCCGGGUGUAGUGGUGGAAUGCGUAGAGAUCCGGAGGAACACCAGCGGCGAAGGCGGCAUCCUGGACUGGUCCUGACACUCAGGAGCGAAAGCGUGGGGAGCGAUCCGG